Molecule: small nuclear RNA, 101 nt
Filed under: Sorex araneus (European shrew)
Lineage: Eukaryota; Metazoa; Chordata; Mammalia; Eulipotyphla; Soricidae
Source: RNAcentral
GUGCUCGCUUCGGCAGCACAUAUCACUAAAAUUGGAAUGAAGAGAAGCAUGGCCUCUGUGCAUGAAUGACAAAGCAAAUUCGUGAAGCAUUCCAUAUUUUU